GGACCAAUGAUGAUUACUGGUGGUUUGAAUCAUGGAUGAUAAAUAACAUGUGUCAGAAACUCUGAGGUCCAGCAAAAAAAAAAAAAUCUAAGUCAGUCUUUCUGUAGGGAUCCUGUAGGUAGAAGUCAGGGAUAUACAAAGAUCUUGUUUAUUUCUUGUGUUCUUUCAUGAAUUUUCACUUCAUUAUUAUAGUCAGAGCAGGGAAAUAAAUAAUCAAAUAAGUAAAUAAAAGAAAUGGAGUGUGUGAAUAUCUCAUAUAAAAAUUUGUAUUCACGCAAGAAAUGCUGUAAAAAAUUGAGAAGACACUUAAAACCAAAGAGAAAGAAAGAGUACAUGACUUAAAUUUUUGGCUAAUUUAAUACAGACAAUAGUAAGUAAUAGUCGUGGCUCACCUUCUGUGUCAGGGAUAAGUUUUAAGUUCAUUUUCUUAAGAGAAAAUGAAACAUACUCCAAAUAAAAGAUUGUCUAAAUCACUGAAAAGUGAAAUGCGCAAGUAAGGACCAAUGACAAUUAGGUCUCGAUUCGUGGACAUCGCCUCUGCCCCGUACGUCACGGAAUGGGUGCCUUGAGAUGAUUUAAGUUUCCUCCAAGAUCAAGAGCCCUCUGGUUGCAUCUUUGUGUUAGAAUCAUGGAGAACAAUGGAAUCGUCAGUGUCCUUGUGUGGGACGGAGCCAUGUUUUUAGAUAAGGUAUUACUGUAUUAUUAAAAAUAUUAAGUAUAAUCAAAGAAGUCCAAACACGCCACUGUCAGUGACCAUGGAUGGAAAAGAAUGUGAUGCUAUAUCCGUAUAUGAUACACUGAAUUCAGUUAAUGAAAGGGCUGGGUCUCCGCGGAGGUGACUUUAUAGACUGAUGUUAGGAUUAUUCAAAGGACUUACAAUUUUUUUUGUGAUUGAUGUUUAUUUAAGUAAUUGUGAAUUAAUCAAAACAAAAAUGUCCAUGAACGAGAAAAGAGCCAGUGUGCUUCUGUGGGAAAUGAUGCCCAAGAUCAAAGUUAGGAAGAGACAAACGUCAGAUUCCCAUUUGGAGUUUAUAAAUGUAAAUGUAUAAUUAAUAAUACAUAGAAGAACAAUUGUAAAAUAAAACAACCAUAUAAAAGAAGCUGAAGGAUUGUCAUAUGAAACAUGUGGUAGGACAAGAAACACUAUUUUUUUUUUCUUUUUUUGGCUUUUGCCAUUUCUUGGGAUGCUCCCGCAGCAUAUGAAUGUUCCCAGGCUAGGGGUCUGACUGGAGCUGUAGCUGCUGGCCUACGCCAGAGUCCACAGCAAUGCAGGAUCUGAGCCCCGUCCGCAAGCUACACCAUAGCUCAGGGCAACGCAGAUCCUUAACCCACUGAGCAAGGCCAGGGAUCGAACCCGCAACCUCAUGGUUCCUAGUUGGAAUCGUUAACCACUGAGCCACGACAGGAACUCCAAGAAGUACUAUUAAUAAAACUGUAAUUGUUUGUUAUAAUUAAGCAGUAAAUGAGUAGGCAUUUUGCAUGUUCGUGGAAAGGAUCCUACAGAUACUGAUGAAUGAGAGCCAACAUUUUUGUGUGGUAUCAGUCUCUUUUAAAGGGUUUGUGUAUAAGAGGAAAACUACCAUAUUAACAAACUAUUAUGUUUAGAAUGGAUAAGCAGAGAGGUCCUGCUGUACAGCACGGUGAACAGUAUCCCAACUCUCGAGGUAGAAAAUGAUGGAAGACCGUAGGAAAAAAUAAUGUGUAUCAGUAUAUGACUAUGCUGCACAGCAGAAAUGGGCACAGCAAUGUAAAUCAACUAUACGUAAAAAUUGUUAUGAAAAUAAAAAUUUAAUGAGUGCAUAAAAAAGGAAACGUCCAUUAAAAGAAAUACGGAGAUUAAGUGAGAAUUUCUUAAAUUAAUUUAUAUGAAAAUUUAAAAACUUACAUUGGGGGGCCUGGGAAAGGGAAUUCCAUGUUUAAAAAAAAAGAAAAGGAAACGAAAGGGAGAGGGAGUAAAGGCAAGACCAAAUUGCACAGUCCAUGGUGACAGGUAUCAUGAGACGCUUCCCAUCCCACGGACCCCUGGAAGUUCAGGUAGGGUAUUGAUAUCUUACCCAGCCCUUUAAUAAAUUGAUCAACAAAGAAGGUCAAGCUAAGGGAACACAGGAGGGACAGUAUUGGAUUGAAGAUGACUCCUGGUGGCAUAUGCGUCCUGUACGAUGAAAACCUGUCUGAAACUCCGAGGUCCACUGAAGAAAGAAUCUGGUUCAAUGUCCACAAAGCAGUGACCCAAUAGGCCGAGGUCAGGAAACGACGAGGGUGACUGACAGAGCACGGGCAUUCCAGCGUUUUCCUGGUGUUAGCCCAAUGGGAAAAUGUGAGCACCCGUCCGGCAGUAUCAGAGAACUGAAUCUAGAGAGAAAGGGAGUGAAGGCAUUUGCCAGGUCCUUGGUGACCCUCAUGGUAUGCCGCAUGCCAGGCUAUGGCCAGGUGUGUGUGUGGAAGCCGCGAGCCUGGAGAAUGGCUGUGCCAUUGGGUCUCCUCCUCUUGGCUUUGUACUCCUCAGUGUGCAGCCGCCGGACCCGAAGGCCGGCUCCUUCCUGGAUGAGCAGGCGAGGAUGGCAGCGUUGUCUUUGGAGCCAGGGGACCAGUGGUGGAAGCCGAAGGCCAGGCCAGGCUGCGUGGGGCCGAGACCCCUCCUCUGGCGGUGGUGGCAGGAGAGAUCCCAAGGGUGGAAGCCGAAGGCCAGGCCAGGCUGCGUGGGGCCGAGACCCCUCCUCUGGCGGUGGUGGCAGGAGAGAUCCCAAGGUGAGUCAUGGCCCCAUGCUGCUGUCUCAGUUUGGGUCAUUGGGAUAAGGGUUUUCAUUGUCUUCUUACAAAAUAGUAAAUGUAAUCAAAAUUUAACUAUGGUCUAUUGAUA
This 2860-nucleotide long non-coding RNA is filed under the name Sus scrofa (pig). RNAcentral's name for it is "lncRNA (ENSSSCG00030003288.1)". The stretch from base 2119 to 2190 matches the Rfam family "Small nucleolar RNA SNORD113/SNORD114 family". The record is from RNAcentral. Lineage: Eukaryota; Metazoa; Chordata; Mammalia; Artiodactyla; Suidae.